This 25-nucleotide non-coding RNA is filed under the name Cricetulus griseus (Chinese hamster). The record is from RNAcentral. Lineage: Eukaryota; Metazoa; Chordata; Mammalia; Rodentia; Cricetidae.
CUCUAGCAUCACAAGUAUUAGAGGC